RNAcentral lists this ribosomal RNA (701 nucleotides) under Labedella sp. Its description in RNAcentral is "bacterial SSU rRNA". It matches the Rfam family "Bacterial small subunit ribosomal RNA", at positions 60 to 772 of the family's 1533-position model. Lineage: Bacteria; Bacillati; Actinomycetota; Actinomycetes; Micrococcales; Microbacteriaceae. The record is from RNAcentral.
AGUCGAACGGUGAAAGAGGAGCUUGCUCCUCUGGAUCAGUGGCGAACGGGUGAGUAACACGUGAGUAACCUGCCCUUGACUCUGGGAUAAGCGUUGGAAACGACGUCUAAUACCGGAUAUGAACCGCGAAGGCAUCUUCUGCGGUUGGAAAGAAUUUUGGUCAAGGAUGGACUCGCGGCCUAUCAGCUAGUUGGUGAGGUAACGGCCCACCAAGGCGACGACGGGUAGCCGGCCUGAGAGGGUGACCGGCCACACUGGGACUGAGACACGGCCCAGACUCCUACGGGAGGCAGCAGUGGGGAAUAUUGCACAAUGGGCGAAAGCCUGAUGCAGCAACGCCGCGUGAGGGACGACGGCCUUCGGGUUGUAAACCUCUUUUAGCAGGGAAGAAGCGAAAGUGACGGUACCUGCAGAAAAAGCACCGGCUAACUACGUGCCAGCAGCCGCGGUAAUACGUAGGGUGCAAGCGUUGUCCGGAAUUAUUGGGCGUAAAGAGCUCGUAGGCGGUUUGUCGCGUCUGCUGUGAAAACGCGAGGCUCAACCUCGCGCCUGCAGUGGGUACGGGCAGACUAGAGUGCGGUAGGGGAGAUUGGAAUUCCUGGUGUAGCGGUGGAAUGCGCAGAUAUCAGGAGGAACACCGAUGGCGAAGGCAGAUCUCUGGGCCGUAACUGACGCUGAGGAGCGAAAGCGUGGGGAGCGAA